AGGGACUCUGAGGGGGAAAGCAGGAGCCUCGGUCCCUGGUGACAUCUUACAGCUGCCACUCCGACCUUUGCUUCACUCUGAACCUUCCCCAUUAGACAAACAAAGCCCUAAUAAGGGAGCUCCUUUCCAGGCCGCGAGCAAAGCCCCUUUAAGGCCUCAUCACAUUCCGUCUGUUUGUUACAAUCUCUAUCACUCCUAAUUCUGCUUCCACUCAAGUCUGGACCAGUCCUUGUGGUUGGGGUGCUUUCCCUCUGGAAUAGAGCUUGCUGUGGACAGUAACCUCCUAUCCGCAUCUUUCCCAAACAUGCCACUCUGAUUCCUAACAAAGGACACAUCAGCCAGUGAAUGGAUGGUGGAAAUGUGGUCUACAGCCGCCACAGAAUACAGCAGGAUGGAGAUAUAAGUCCUGGCUUCUAUUGCAUAGUGGUGAGUAGGAUGGGUGACAGUGUUCACCAGAACCCAGUGUGCAUAGUCCUGGAACAUCACAUGGCUGGCCCAAAAUAUAAUAAGUCCCUUCAAUUUCAUCAUCUCCGUGAUGUCACUGUUCAUAUCACCCUUUCUCCUUGCUCACUCUUACUCUCUCCCUCACUGUAUGUUGGGGAUCAAACCCAGGGCUUUGAGCAUGGCUGGGCAAGCACUCUACCACUGACCUAAAUCUCCAGCCUGAGUCACAUGUUCUCUCUCAUGCCUAGAAGGUCGUGUUGCAUGUUAAAAACCGCACCUGCUGUGCUCUCCAGUGUUCGAAGACACUGUUAUCUUUAUUUUUGUUUCCCUUUGAAAUAAAACUGAAUCUAUU
Molecule: long non-coding RNA, 796 nt
Filed under: Rattus norvegicus (Norway rat)
Lineage: Eukaryota; Metazoa; Chordata; Mammalia; Rodentia; Muridae
Description: long non-coding RNA NONRATT028822
Source: RNAcentral